Molecule: ribosomal RNA, 253 nt
Filed under: uncultured bacterium
Lineage: Bacteria
Description: partial 16S ribosomal RNA
Rfam family: Bacterial small subunit ribosomal RNA
Source: RNAcentral
GACAGAGGCCCCAAGCGUUAGGCGGAAUCACUGGGCUUAAAGCGUGUGUAGGCGGAUCGUUAAGUGUCUUGUGAAAUCCCACGGCUCACCCGUGGAACUGCUGGGCAUACUGGCGAUCUUGGGCCAACUAGGGGCAGCCGGAACAAGCGGUGGAGCGGUGAAAUGCGUAGAUAUCGCUUGGAACGCCGAAGGUGAAAACAGGCUGCUGGGGUUGUGCCGACUCUGAGACGCGAAAGCCAGGGGAGCAAACGGG